Molecule: ribosomal RNA, 253 nt
Filed under: uncultured bacterium
Lineage: Bacteria
Description: partial 16S ribosomal RNA
Rfam family: Bacterial small subunit ribosomal RNA
Source: RNAcentral
UACAGAGGGUGCGAGCGUUGUCCGGAAUCACUGGGCGUAAAGGGCGCGUAGGCGGCCUGGUUAGUAGGGGGUGAAAUCUUGCGGCUCAACUGCAAGGCUGCCUCCUAAACUGCCGGGCUAGAGCACGGUAGAGGCAGAUGGAAUUCCCGGUGUAGCGGUGGAAUGCGUAGAGAUCGGGAAGAACAUCGGUGGCGAAGGCGGUCUGCUGGGCCGUUGCUGACGCUGAGGCGCGACAGCGUGGGGAGCAAACAGG